RNAcentral lists this ribosomal RNA (253 nucleotides) under uncultured bacterium. RNAcentral describes it as "partial 16S ribosomal RNA". It matches the Rfam family "Bacterial small subunit ribosomal RNA", at positions 524 to 776 of the family's 1533-position model. The record is from RNAcentral.
UACAGAGGGUGCAAGCGUUGUUCGGAAUCAUUGGGCGUAAAGCGCACGUAGGCGGCUUUGCAAGUCGGGUGUGAAAGCCUGGGGCUCAACCCCAGAAGUGCAUUCGAAACUGCAGAGCUUGAGUCUUGGAGAGGGCAGUGGAAUUCCGAGUGUAGAGGUGAAAUUCGUAGAUAUUCGGAGGAACACCAGUGGCGAAGGCGACUGCCUGGACAAAGACUGACGCUGAGGUGCGAAAGCGUGGCGAGCAAACAGG